RNAcentral lists this ribosomal RNA (492 nucleotides) under uncultured bacterium. Its description in RNAcentral is "partial 16S ribosomal RNA". It matches the Rfam family "Bacterial small subunit ribosomal RNA", at positions 29 to 507 of the family's 1533-position model. The record is from RNAcentral.
AGUGAACGCUGGCGGCAUGCCUAACACAUGCAAGUCGAACGGCAGCACAGUAAGAGCUUGCUCUUACGGUUGGCGAGUGGCGGACGAGUGAGGAAUACAUCGGCAUCUACUUUUUCUUGGGUGAUAACGUAGGGAAACUUACGCUAAUACCGCAUACUACCUACGGGUGAAAUCAAGGGAUCUUCGGACCUUGCCCGACUGUAUUAGACGACGUCGGAUUAGCUAGUUGGCGGGGUAAAGGCACACCAAGGCGACGAUCCGUAGCUGGUCUGAGAGGAUGAUCGGCCACACUGGAACUGAGACACGGUCCAGACUCCUACGGGAGGCAGCAGUGGGGAAUAUUGGACAAUGGGCGCAAGCCUGACCCAGCCAUACCGCGUGGGUGAAGAAGGCCUUCGGGUUGUAAAGCCCUUUUGUUGGGAAAGAAAAGCAGCAGGUUAAUACCCGGCUGUUCUGACGGUACCCAAAGAAUAAGCACCGGCUAACUUCGUG